UGUGAGUGACUUAGGUUUAAAUUUUAAGUUCCCACUACCUCUCACACACAAGCUGGUACUGGAAAAAGGAAAACAACCGAGGCAAGAAAGUUUUCAAGGUGAGCUAUAAAGGUAAACACAAAAACACAAAACCCUGCCCUGGACUCCAAAGGGUUAAUGAAUUGAAUUGUACUGCUUGACUGAAAUGUGGAGAUAGUAAAGGUAAUUGCAUCUAUUUGAAGUUAUGGUGGUAAUGAAUUGAGGCAUUUUGGAUUCUUUUGCAAGCGCUAUUUGAGGUUAUACAGGGAACAACACAUAGGGAACAGUUAAAUCAGGAAACAACUCAACUCAUACAGUAAGAAAAGUAACAUUGGUUACUAGAAAACAGGCACACAAGUGAAACGACACUUUUCCAGCCUGGGAGGUGCUCAAACCCACCACACAUUCAAAGAUGGCAAAAAAUCCUACUUUUCUGAGGGGUCGAUUUUCGCCCGUUUUUUCAGUGCCAGCACUGUCGCGAAAUCGCAUUUUUUCAAGUUGCUGAAACCACACUUUUCCAGCCCGGGAGAUGGGCCAAACCCCCCAGACAUUCAUCGGUGGUCCCAGCAGGACCCAAAGAUGGCAAAAAAAAAGACAUUUUUCCUGAAAAUGGGAACACUUCUUUCCGAUGAAUCGCAAAGGUACUAUUUAAAUAUUCCACCAAACUUCAAGGCCAGUUUUAUCAAACACAAUUAAUAUUGCUUGCUUACACUUCUGUUGUCUAUGUGAACCUAUCCACGUGCUCCAAUGAGGAUGACCAUUUCAGGCCAUAACAAUGACCUGUGAGCCUUGAAAUCCAUUCCCAGUCUUCGCUGAUACUGAGUGGACUUGUGUUGCACCUACCUAAAAAGACCCAGGCGUGUGUGAGAUGUUUCAAGAAGUGGCAUUACAAUGCACACCGCCACCUACUGUCCGGAGAGGGCGCUGCUCGGCUGAAGUAUAUAAACAAGGUGUUGACCCGUCAGGCAUACAAGUUCUGACAGCAUGAGAGUGGAGUUAUGUGUGCAGUAUAUACAUUUUGUUGCCGUGCUACUGUUACUAUGUGGAGCUUUGGGACUUUGUGCACAUCUUGAUGGAGACGAAUAAAUGGGUGA
Dunckerocampus dactyliophorus (ringed pipefish) is the source of this 1112-nucleotide long non-coding RNA. RefSeq lists it as uncharacterized. The transcript is spliced from 3 exons. The record is from RefSeq and is a predicted model, not a curated record. Lineage: Eukaryota; Metazoa; Chordata; Actinopteri; Syngnathiformes; Syngnathidae.